Molecule: ribosomal RNA, 253 nt
Filed under: uncultured bacterium
Lineage: Bacteria
Description: partial 16S ribosomal RNA
Rfam family: Bacterial small subunit ribosomal RNA
Source: RNAcentral
UACAGAGGGUGCGAGCGUUAAUCGGAAUUACUGGGCGUAAAGCGUGCGUAGACGGCUAUCUAAGUCGGGUGUGAAAGCCCCGGGCUCAACCUGGGGAUUGCAUUCGAGACUGAAUAGCUAGGGUGCGGUAGAGGGAAGCGGAAUUUCCGGUGUAGCGGUGAAAUGCGUAGAUAUCAGGAGGAACACCUGUGGCGAAAGCGGCUCACUGGACCACAACUGACGCUGAGGCGCGAAAGCUAGGGGAGCAAACAGG